This 263-nucleotide ribosomal RNA is filed under the name uncultured archaeon. Its description in RNAcentral is "partial 16S ribosomal RNA". It matches the Rfam family "Archaeal small subunit ribosomal RNA", at positions 748 to 1009 of the family's 1478-position model. The record is from RNAcentral.
UAGGCGUAAAUGAUGCGAGUUAAGUGUGGGGGCAUCUACGAGAUGGCCCUGUGCCGUAGGGUAGCCGUUAAACUCGCUGCCUGGGGAGUACGGUCGCAAGGCUGAAACUUAAAGGAAUUGGCGGGGGAGGCACCGCAACGGGAGGAGCGUGCGGUUCAAUUGGAUUCAACGCCGGACAACUCACCAGGAGCGACGGUUACAUGAAGGCCAGGCUGAUGACCUUGCCUGAUUUUCCGAGAGGAGGUGCAUGGCCGUAGUCGUGU